RNAcentral lists this ribosomal RNA (1425 nucleotides) under uncultured Bordetella sp. RNAcentral describes it as "partial 16S-23S ribosomal RNA intergenic spacer". It matches the Rfam family "Bacterial small subunit ribosomal RNA". The record is from RNAcentral. Lineage: Bacteria; Pseudomonadati; Pseudomonadota; Betaproteobacteria; Burkholderiales; Alcaligenaceae.
AGUUCGAUCAUGGCUCAGAUUGAACGCUGGCGGGAUGCUUUACACAUGCAAGUCGAACGGCAGCACGGACUUCGGUCUGGUGGCGAGUGGCGAACGGGCGAGUAAUGUAUCGGAACGUGCCUAGUAGCGGGGGAUAACUACGCGAAAGCGUAGCCAAUACCGCAUACGCCCCUUCGGGGAAAGCGGGGACCUUUCGGGCCUCGCACUAUUAGAGCGGCCGAUAUCGGAUUAGCUAGUUGGUGGGGUAACGGCUCACCAAGGCGACGAUCCGUAGCUGGUUUGAGAGGACGACCAGCCACACUGGGACUGGAGACACGGCCCAGACUCCUACGGAGGCAAGGUAAUUUGACAAUAAACCGAUUCGUUUCAUCCGCAAGUGGCGUGAUGAAGGCCUUUAAUUGGUAAAACACCUCUGGCAGAAGAACGGCCGGAUAAUACUCGCAACUGAUCAAAUUAUAGAGAAUGUGCGUCGCCAUCCAUGCCAGCCGUAUGCCGCAAGUGUUACGUAGGGUGCGUGGCGCAUAUCAUGAAUUUUACAUCAGCAAAAUGGCGGCAGCCGGAAGAAAAAGAUGAAACGGCUUAACUGAACCGUAGCUUUAACUACCGAGGCUAGAGUGCACGAGGAGGUGAUCUAAAAAAGUGAGCCAGGCAUGAGGAACCGAUGGCGAAGGCGGCCCUAACACAAACACUUGACGCCCGCCGGAGCGUGGGGAGCAAACAGAUUAGAUACCCCAGUCCACGCCCUAAACGAUGUCAACUAGCUGUUGGGGCCUUGGCCCGGUAGCGCAGCUAACGCGUGAAGUUGACCGCCUGGGGAGUACGGUCGCAAGAUUAAAAACUCAAAGGAAUUGACGGGACUCCGCACAAGCGGUGGAUGAUGUGGAUUAAUUCGAUGCAACGCGAAAACCUUACCUACCCUUGACAUGUCUGGAAUCCCGAAGAGAUUUGGGAGUGCUCGCAAGAGAACCGAACACAGGUGCCGCAUGGCUGUCGCCGCCCGUGUCGAGAUGUUGGGUUAAGUCCCGGCAACGAGCGCAACCCUUGUCAUUAGUUGCUACGAAAGGGCACUCUAAUGAGACUGCCGGUGACAAACCGGAGGAAGGUGGGGAUGACGUCAAGUCCUCAUGGCCCUUAUGGGUAGGGCUUCACACGCUACACAAUGGUCGGGACAGAGGGUCGCCAACCCGCGAGGGGGAGCCAACUCUAGAAACCCGAUCGUAGGUCCGGAUCGCAGUCUGCAACUCGACUGCGUGGUCGGAAUCGCUAGUAAUCGCGGAUCAGCAUGUCGCGGUGAAUACGUUCCCGGGUCUUGUACACACCGCCCGUCACACCAUGGGAGCGGGUUUUACCAGAAGUAGUUAGCCUAACCGUAAGGAGGGCGAUUACCACGGUAGGAUUCACCGGGGUGAAGUCGUAACAAGGUAA